Molecule: ribosomal RNA, 547 nt
Filed under: uncultured bacterium
Lineage: Bacteria
Description: bacterial SSU rRNA
Rfam family: Bacterial small subunit ribosomal RNA
Source: RNAcentral
GGAAUUUUGGACAAUGGGGGCAACCCUGAUCCAGCCAUGCCGCGUGCGGGAAGAAGGCCUUCGGGUUGUAAACCGCUUUUGUCAGGGAAGAAAUGUCCUGGGUUAAUACCCUGGGGGGAUGACGGUACCUGAAGAAUAAGCACCGGCUAACUACGUGCCAGCAGCCGCGGUAAUACGUAGGGUGCGAGCGUUAAUCGGAAUUACUGGGCGUAAAGCGUGCGCAGGCGGUUAUACAAGACAGAUGUGAAAUCCCCGGGCUCAACCUGGGAACUGCAUCUGUGACUGUAUAGCUGGAGUACGGUAGAGGGGAGUGGAAUUCCGCGUGUAGCAGUGAAAUGCGUAGAUAUGCGGGGGAACACCGAUGGCGAAGGCAGCUCCCUGGACCUGUACUGACGCUCAUGCACGAAAGCGUGGGGAGCAAACAGGAUUAGAUACCCUGGUAGUCCACGCCCUAAACGAUGUCAACUGGUUGUUGGGAGGGUUUCUUCUCAGUAACGAAGCUAACGCGUGAAGUUGACCGCCUGGGGAGUACGGCCGCAAGGUUGAA